This 441-nucleotide ribosomal RNA is filed under the name uncultured bacterium. Its description in RNAcentral is "partial 16S ribosomal RNA". It matches the Rfam family "Bacterial small subunit ribosomal RNA", at positions 338 to 795 of the family's 1533-position model. The record is from RNAcentral.
UCUACGGGGAGCAGCAGUGGGGAAUAUUGCACAAUGGGGGAAACCCUGAUGCAGCGACGCCGCGUGAGUGAAGAAGUAUUUCGGUAUGUAAAGCUCUAUCAGCAGGGAAGAAAAAAGACGGUACCUGCCUAAGAAGCCCCGGCUAACUACGUGCCAGAAGCCGCGGUAAUAAGAAGGUGGCAAGCGUUAGCCGGAUUUACUGGGUGUAAAGGGAGCGUAGACGGGGCGGCAAGUCUGAAGUGAAAGGCAGGGGCUUAACCCCUGAACUGCUUUGGAAACUGCCAUGCUAGUGUGCUGGAGAGGUAAGUGGAAUUCCUAGUGUAGCGGUGAAAUGCGUAGAUAUUAGGAGGAACACCAGUGGCGAAGGCGGCUUACUGGACUGUAAAUGACGCUGAGGCUCGAAAGCGUGGGGAGCAAACAGGAUUAGAUACCCCAGUAGUC